GCCCACAGCCCCCAGCAGCGUGGCGCAGCCUAGCAGCGCCAGGUCGCAGCGCCGCCGGGCGCCGUGUCCCCACCGAGCGGGGGGCGCGGACGGCGUCGGCUCCCACGGCGCCCGCGCCCCCGGGGAGGGCUCGGCAGGCAGUGGCACUGAGAGGUAGGACGGGGUCGAGUAGGGGGAAGGGGGCACGCUGCUGCCUCCAUCCUCUGCCUCCGCGAACUCCUCUGCAACCGGAGAGGGCCAUCACUCCGCUGCAGGGCUGGCCAGGGCCCCACGGGGACUUGUGCCAAGGGACAGCCCCCGAUGACCCCUCCAACAGCAAGACCAAGACCCACGAGCAUCGUUCUUGAAUCUGUCUCCCGGAGAAGCCUCAGAGAAGGGUGGUCCCUGCCCCUGGAAAUGACCCCCCACGCCCCAGGGGCCACCAUCUCCCUUCCCAGGAAGGCCUUCCACUCACUGGCCCAGUGAAACCUGGUCUCUUCGCUCAGCCCCAGGAGGCUCACCCCUUUGGCCAGGGAACCCCCACCCCCUUACAAGAACCCAGGCUCUUACCCAUCUCAUUGAGGCUGGCGAAGCCAGGGGCGAUGGGUGUGUGUUUGGGGGACUUGCCCAGGUUGGGGGCACUUGAUGACCACCCUUUGCUUCCUUCCCCCAGCCCCUUCAGC
This 662-nucleotide long non-coding RNA is filed under the name Pan troglodytes (chimpanzee). RNAcentral's name for it is "long non-coding RNA NONPTRT008531". Lineage: Eukaryota; Metazoa; Chordata; Mammalia; Primates; Hominidae. The record is from RNAcentral.